UCUGAUCAUCUUAGUGGUCCUUGUCUGGACACAUUCCAAGAGCUCCAUGUCCUUCUUGUGCUGGGGACCCCAAGACUGGACACAGCCCUAAGAUGCAUAUCUUAAUUUAGGCAGUGGGAUCUCUUGAUCAUGCUCUCAUGUCAAUUGCUGCUGUUACUCAUAAAUGUAAAUUCAUCACCCACAUAGUUGCAUUUCUCCUUGGCCCUUUUUUCUACAUCACUGUGGAGCGCACGGAGAUGUCAGUUGCCUUUUUAUCUUCUCAGAAAGCCUGGCACGUGGUCGUCUGUCAAAACCAUAUGCAGGCUUCUUGAGUUCCAGCUAUGAAUGAAGUCAUUGUGUCUCUUCACUCCUAUACCCAUAUGCUAUGGAUAUCCAGAGUUAUCCUGUUGCAGUUGAUAAACCUGCAAUAGGAAGGCCAUGGUCCCCUGGUUUCCAGGCUCUGGUGUAUACUUCCCAAAUCCUAGAGAAAGACUUGGUUAUGAGAAGGUGACAUAGGUAUGGUUGUGCCUUUGGUCACAUCUUAUCCAUUGUGGUUAGAUAAAACCAUAGAGGUAAAAAUAGGAUUUUAAAAUAAUCCCCUGUGUUCUUUUGACAAGUCAGGAAAAUGUAAUUAGUCUCUAUGGGAUUUCCACGUUCAGUGACACUCAGGGAAGCUGACACCAGUGGACCGCUAGAAUAAAGAGGGCAACCUAAUGGAGAGAUUGUAAUAUUUUAAGUAGCCUAAUGCCAUGCAAGAAUGUAAUUUCUAUUGUGUUGUAUUGUCUGUGUAUGUGAAUACUGAAUUCGUUCUCAUUACUGCCAUAAAAUACUCAGUGGCUAAAUUUUCCUUCUCCUGCCAGAUCAAUAACAUCUGCAAAUAGCAGAUUAGAUCAGAAUCUGCUUUCCCAGAUUUACCAAAUAUAUAUAUGUACAACGCCAGAGGAAAAAGGAGCAUACUUCUCUCUGCACAGGGAAGCAGCUUGCUUAGAAAUCUGCAAGAUUACCUGAACAUUCUGUUUUAGAAAUUCCAAAUUUAGAAAUUCUUCAAUUUCCUUCCCUUUAGCUUUUUUUUCCCAUGCUUUUGCUGCUUGAAUUUGAUCUGUACCUCUUGACUCUGGUAUCUGCUGAUACAUGAUGUCCUGCCCAUCCAUUGAUCACGGCUUGUUGUGUGGUUCCUUUGAAUAAAUGGCAGAUCCUUGCUUAAUGUACAGUGCCAUAUAACAUACAAAAUAUAAUCAUAUAACUUUUCAAGAAAACAUCAUUAAUCUUGGACUUUCAUUUCAGUUUUCUGUCUCGGUCUGUAACGGGUUUUGUUUUUUCACUGUCCAAUCUUUGUGCAAUGGAUUGCAAUGUGCAAUGUCCAAUCCUUGCUCAGAAGGCCAGACUUUGAUUCUCAUACUUAGAGGUCACAGACUGUUCCUCAGACAGGAUGUUUUUUUUACCUGCACUAUCUGAACAGGUAUUGCCAGUCCUCCUUUUCUAUGAUUUGUUCCAAAACAGUGUAACUGGGGCUUCAGCUUACAUGUUUCUCAGCUUGUAAAUUGACCAGUAUGAUUUAUUUUCACUUUCUGCCAGCAACUCUACUUACAUGGAAAUGCUGCAGAGCUGGUUCCAGGAGGCAAGGAGCACAGUUUCAGCUUAGGGACUUUUUCAUCUCACUUCUUUUCUCCCUGCUUCUCACAUACAGAGAGAUUUGGUGUGUUGGUAUGUUGACAACACUAAUAAGGAAGCUGCAGAACUGUUGAGUGAAGGUAGUUGCUCGUUAAACUGGUAAUUGUAUAAGAGAAGAUGCUGAGCUCAGAGUCACGUGUAAACCAAAAAUUGAAAUAAAUAAAGAUGUUUGUGUCUUCAGAGAAAACUACUUUAUAGUGACAAAAUUAGGGAGAAGUGAGGAGCGUUAUAAGUCUUAGUCAGUCUGCCAAAAUUGUUGAGUUUUGUGUGGUUGGAGGAGGUGGGAAUUAGGCUCUCCAGCUGUUCUCCCUGUUGUCACGUACACCAAUAGCUGGUUUUCUCUAGAGAGUUUGCAAAUGCUGAUGUUAUUUUUGUUCCAUAAUUUUAUACCCUUGAGUUCACCCAUAAGGAACGAAAAUGAGUUUGAUAAACAGGACUUAUUAAGGCUCUGCUGAUCAACGAAGAUGAACGUGGUUAAUAAUUUAGCAUUAUUUUAUUAUUCAAAAUAGUGUCUUUAGUAUCAAACAUUUAUAUGAUACGUUAUAGAGAGUUUCCCAAUGGUAAAAAACAAAUGAUAUAAUUUAAGCAAAAUUACUCAUGUAACUCUUAUCUGAGGUUUAACUGACACAAGGCCCUGUGACAGUCCUUUGUACUGAAAAGAAAUUUGACAUGAGAGCAGAACUGGGAUUUCUUGUACGACUGCUAACAACAAAGAGCAGCUUGAGAGGUAUGUGUCAUCCACCUGCUGACAUGGUCUGCAAAAGAAAACUUGUUCCGGAGACCUCAUCACCACUGAGAGAGACAAGCAUCCAUGCUGGCACCCAUAUCUCCUGGAUUUGGUCGUAAGUCAUGAAAUUUGUCUCACGAGGAUUAGAAACGCUGCCAUCUGCAAUACAGACAUUUCUAUCAGCGGAUGUGACCAGGAAAACCUAGUGUUUGUCAGUAAUUGCUUCUAAAAAUAGGCACUGUCUCUUAAAAGUGAAACAGGAGGGUGACAAGGAGCUUUAAAACAAUUCUCGUUAGUGGCAGAGAAUAACCCACAUCUAUAACUGUGUUGUAAGGCCAGCACUGUUGCUGUGGUGGAGGGCGCUAAGCCCCUGGCAGCCCAAAUGCUGCCUUUGUACCUCAGUCCCACGUGGCACCAUGGGUAGGAGGCCCUGACAUACUCCCCCCAGGCUCCAUUUUCUCACAUGAUGGAGAGGAGCUGCAUCAGCAUGGGGCAGGGGAGUGGCACAGGCACAAAAGCUGUUGGGGUGGGAAGGGAAAGGUAGCACGGACCAGGUCAAGGGGCAGGAUUAGACCUUCUGUUCAUCCUGGAGGACAAACCCACACAGCCUUUACCUCCUCCAAGGGGCCUUGCAGACUCUCUUUUGUAAAUGCUAAUCAAGAGAGUAAAUCAGAGCUUGUUGUCAGUGAAGUAACAUGGGAUAGCUUUCUCCUGUCUCUUAGCAAUGGGUCUUCUGUGCUGCCAAGAGACAACUGAUAAUGACUUCUUAAUACACUUGCUCUG
Molecule: long non-coding RNA, 3160 nt
Organism: Gallus gallus (chicken)
Lineage: Eukaryota; Metazoa; Chordata; Aves; Galliformes; Phasianidae
Source: Ensembl